Molecule: ribosomal RNA, 1366 nt
Filed under: metagenome
Description: bacterial LSU rRNA
Rfam family: Bacterial large subunit ribosomal RNA
Source: RNAcentral
AUCCGUUCAUCAAUCCGAAGACGUGAUGCGGACCGAAUUAAGAGUAGGGAAGUGUGUGAGCCAUGCGUCAAGAAAAGCCGCUAUUGUUUUACUUAAGCCCGUACCGUAAACCGACACAGGUGGAUGAGGAGAGAAUCCUAAGGCCGACGGGAGAAGCAUUGUUAAGGAACUCGGCAAAAUGACUCCGUAACUUCGGGAGAAGGAGUGCCAGCGAGAGCUGGCCGCAGAGAAUUGGCCCAAGCAACUGUUUAGCAAAAACACAGGUCUAUGCAAAACCGUAAGGUGAAGUAUAUGGGCUGACGCCUGCCCGGUGCUGGAAGGUUAAGAGGAGAGGUUAGCGGUAACGCGAAGCUUUGAAUUUAAGCCCCAGUAAACGGCGGCCGUAACGAUAACGGUCCUAAGGUAGCGAAAUUCCUUGUCGGGUAAGUUCCGACCCGCACGAAAGGCGUAAUGAUUUGGGCACUGUCUCAACAAUGCACCCGGUGAAAUUGAAAUACCAGUGAAGAUGCUGGUUACCUGCGCCAGGACGGAAAGACCCCAUGGAGCUUUACUCCAGCUUGAUACUGGGAUUCGGUAUUGCAUGUACAGGAUAGGUGGGAGGCUAGGAAGUGAUAACGCCAGUUGUCACGGAGCCGCUGUUGGGAUACCACCCUUGCAGUAUUGGAUUUCUAACCAGCGACCAUGAACUGGUCGGGGGACAAUGUCAGGUGGGGAGUUUGACUGGGGCGGUCGCCUCCGAAAGGGUAUCGGAGGCGCUCAAAGGUUCCCUCAGAAUGGACGGAAACCAUUCGAAGAGUGCAAAGGCAGAAGGGAGCUUGACUGCGACACCGACGGGUGGAGCAGGUACGAAAGUAGGACUUAGUGAUCCGGUGGUAUAAAGUGGGAUUGCCAUCGCUCAACGGAUAAAAGCUACCCUGGGAUAACAGGCUUAUCACUCCCAAGAGUUCACAUCGACGGAGUGGUUUGGCACCUCGAUGUCGGCUCAUCGCAUCCUGGGGCUGAAGUAGGUCCCAAGGGUUGGGCUGUUCGCCCAUUAAAGCGGUACGCGAGCUGGGUUCAGAACGUCGUGAGACAGUUCGGUCCCUAUCCGGCGUGGGCGUAGGAUAUUUGAGAGGAGCUGUCCUUAGUACGAGAGGACCGGGAUGGACUGGCCGCUGGUGUAUCUGUUGCAUACCAAAUGCAUGGCAGAGUAGCCAAACCGGGACGGGAUAAACGCUGAAGGCAUCUAAGCGUGAAGCCCCCCUCAAGAUGAGAUAUCCCUACGUAAGUAGUAAGACCCCUUGAAGACGACAAGGUAGAUAGGUCAGAGGUGGAAGUACAGUAAUGUAUGGAGCUGACUGAUACUAAUCGGUCGAGGGCAUGACCA